AUGGUGAGUAGUGUUGGUCAUUGCAAUGAUGAUAGUGUGCUUGUUCCUGGUGAUCCUUCAUCAUUAUCUUAUUGCAAUGGUCUUUCUUUGGACUUUAACACUUCAAGCACCUUACAUGUUUCACAUGCUCGUGUUGAUAGUCCUUGCAUAUCAUGUAGAAAUUGCUUGCUCAAAUUUCAUGAUGAUAUGCUUGCUAUGUCUUGUUGCCAUGAUAAAAAUGUAUAUAUUUCCUCGAGUUGUUGUGCUAACAAUGUAAAGGAAACUCAACACUACAUGGAACAAUAUGUGGUCUUAAAUGGUGCUUCAAGGGAUCCUACAUCAUCAUCUAUUGCUUUACGCCUUAUGGCUAGGGCCUCAAAGGUAUCUCCUACUUUGAAACCCAAUAUGUCUCCUAAUGAUGAUGAUGAUGAGGAUAAUGAUGAAGAGAAUGAUAGUGUUGCCUCCUUAAAAAUUAAGGGGGAAAUGGUUUUUAAAACUCUUCAUAAAAAUAAAAUUGCUCGUUGCAACUUCAUGGGAAUCAUGUCCAUUGCCAUUGAGGGCAAGAAUUAUAUUGAGGAGUUGGAAUCUCAUGUUGAGGAGCAUGAGGUCACCAUUGAGAAAAUGGAAGGUCACGAGCAUGAUUAUGCUAAUGAGAUUGCGGACAUCUCUCAAGCUCUUGAAGUUGAACAAACCACCAAAGAAUCUCUUGAGGAGAAUUUUGCUCUAGAACUAUCAAGAGUGAAUGAAUCUCGUGAUAGAGCUCUUGAGGUGGCCAAUGAUUUUGAAACUAAAAAUGAGAAGCUUGAAGUUGCGCAUGCUAAACUCCUUGAGGACUUUGGGAACCUCGAAAAUAGCUGA
This 837-nucleotide ribosomal RNA is filed under the name Triticum aestivum (bread wheat). RNAcentral describes it as "partial small subunit ribosomal RNA". The record is from RNAcentral. Lineage: Eukaryota; Viridiplantae; Streptophyta; Magnoliopsida; Poales; Poaceae.